CAUAUCAAUAAGCGGAGGAAAAGAAACUAACAAGGAUUCCCCUAGUAACGGCGAGUGAACCGGGAAGAGCUCAAAUUUGAAAUCUGGCAGUCUUCGAUUGUCCGAGUUGUAAUCUAUAGAAGCGUUUUCCGUGCUGAACUGUGUAUAAGUCCCUUGGAACAGGGUAUCAAAGAGGGUGACAAUCCCGUACUUUACACAAUCAUCAGUGCUCUGUGAUACGUUCUCUACGAGUCGAGUUGUUUGGGAAUGCAGCUCAAAAUGGGUGGUAAAUUCCAUCUAAAGCUAAAUAUUGGCGAGAGACCGAUAGCGAACAAGUACCGUGAGGGAAAGAUGAAAAGCACUUUGGAAAGAGAGUUAAACAGUACGUGAAAUUGUUGAAAGGGAAACGAAAUUCAUGAAUCAUGUUUAUUGGACUCAGCCGUUCUUCGGUGUACUUCCUUUAAACGGGUCAACAUCAGUUUUGUCCGAUGGAUAAAGGUAGUAGGAAGGUGGCUCUCUCGGGAGUGUUAUAGCCUAUUGCUGCAUACAUUGGAUGAGACUGAGGACUGCAGCUUGCCUUUAUGGCCGGGGUUCGCCCACGUUCAAGCUUAGGAUGUUGACAUAUUCUCGAAUCACGAC
This 618-nucleotide ribosomal RNA is filed under the name Apiotrichum porosum. RNAcentral describes it as "partial 28S ribosomal RNA". It matches the Rfam family "Eukaryotic large subunit ribosomal RNA", at positions 39 to 648 of the family's 3401-position model. Lineage: Eukaryota; Fungi; Basidiomycota; Tremellomycetes; Trichosporonales; Trichosporonaceae. The record is from RNAcentral.